CAGCCGCCGCGGUAAAACGGAGGGGGCUAGCGUUGUUCGGAAUUACUGGGCGUAAAGCGCACGUAGGCGGCUUGGUAAGUUAGAGGUGAAAGCCUGGAGCUCAACUCCAGAAUUGCCUUUAAGACUGCCGAGCUAGCAGGUGAGAGAGGUAAGUGGAAUUCCGAGUGUAGAGGUGAAAUUCGUAGAUAUUCGGAAGAACACCAGUGGCGAAGGCGGCUUACUGGCUCAUACUGGACGCUGAGGUGCGAAAGCGUGGGGAGCGAACAGGAUUAGAUACCCCAGUAGUCCCCUGUCUCUUAUU
Molecule: ribosomal RNA, 301 nt
Filed under: uncultured bacterium
Lineage: Bacteria
Description: partial 16S ribosomal RNA
Rfam family: Bacterial small subunit ribosomal RNA
Source: RNAcentral